GUGGGGAAUAUUGGACAAUGGGCGGAAGCCUGAUCCAGCAACGCCGCGUGAGGGAUGACGGCCUUCGGGUUGUAAACCUCUUUCGGUGGGGACGAAGCGCAAGUGACGGUACCCACUAUAGAAGCACCGGCCAACUACGUGCCAGCAGCCGCGGUAAUACGUAGGGUGCGAGCGUUGUCCGGAAUUAUUGGGCGUAAAGGGCUCGUAGGCGGUUUGUCGCGUCGGGAGUGAAAACGCCGUGCUUAACACGGCGCUUGCUUCCGAUACGGGCAGACUAGAGGUAUGCAGGGGAGAACGGAAUUCCUGGUGUAGCGGUGAAAUGCGCAGAUAUCAGGAGGAACACCGGUGGCGAAGGCGGUCCUCUGGGCAUUACCUGACGCUGAGGAGCGAAAGUGUGGGGAGCGAAC
This 407-nucleotide ribosomal RNA is filed under the name uncultured bacterium. Its description in RNAcentral is "bacterial SSU rRNA". It matches the Rfam family "Bacterial small subunit ribosomal RNA", at positions 354 to 773 of the family's 1533-position model. The record is from RNAcentral.